This 258-nucleotide ribosomal RNA is filed under the name uncultured bacterium. RNAcentral describes it as "partial 16S ribosomal RNA". It matches the Rfam family "Bacterial small subunit ribosomal RNA", at positions 96 to 354 of the family's 1533-position model. The record is from RNAcentral.
UGGCGGACGGGUGAGUAACGCGUGAGGAACCUGCCUUUCAGUGGGGGACAACAGUUGGAAACGACUGCUAAUACCGCAUAACGUACGGGUAUCGCAUGGUACUGGUACCAAAGAUUUAUCGCUGAGAGAUGGCCUCGCGUCUGAUUAGCUAGUUGGUAGGGUAACGGCCUACCAAGGCGACGAUCAGUAGCCGGACUGAGAGGUUGGCCGGCCACAUUGGGACUGAGAUACGGCCCAGACUCCUACGGAAGGCAGCAG